UCUACCUUUAUCUGGGGAAUAGCCCGAAGAAAUUCGGAUUAAUACCCCAUAAGAUAUUAGAGUGGCAUCACUCAGAUAUUAAAACUCCGGUGGAUAGAGAUGACUGUGCGUCCCAUUAGCUAGUUGGUAGGGUAACGGCCUACCAAGGCGACGAUGGGUAGCUGGUGUGAGAGCACGACCAGCCACACGGGCACUGAGACACGGGCCCGACUCCUACGGGAGGCAGCAGUGAGGAAUAUUGGGCAAUGGACGCAAGUCUGACCCAGCCAUGCCGCGUGAAGGAUGAAGGCGUUCUGCGUUGUAAACUUCUUUUAUUAGGGAARAAACCUCCGUUUUCUAAUGGAGCCGACGGUACCUAACGAAUAAGCACCGGCUAACUCCGUGCCAGCAGCCGCGGUAAUACGGAGGGUGCAAGCGUUAUCCGGAUUCACUGGGUUUAAAGGGUGUGUAGGCGGAUAUUUAAGUCAGUGGUGAAAUCUCCAGGCUCAACCCUGGAAACUGCCAUUGAUACUAUUUUAUCUUGAAUUCUGUUGAGGGUGGGCGGA
RNAcentral lists this ribosomal RNA (545 nucleotides) under uncultured bacterium. RNAcentral describes it as "bacterial SSU rRNA". It matches the Rfam family "Bacterial small subunit ribosomal RNA", at positions 125 to 666 of the family's 1533-position model. The record is from RNAcentral.